AAGUGUAGCAAUACAUGAGUAAAGCGGCGCACGGGUGAGUAACACGUGGAUAACCUGCCUCAAAGUGGGGAAUAACACCGGGAAACCGGUGCUAAUACCGCAUAUUCUGACGAGAUCUGCGGAUUUUGUCAGGAAAGGAGCAAUUCGCUAUGAGAGGGGUCCGCGGCUGAUUAGCUAGUUGGUGAGGUAAUGGCUCACCAAGGCUUCGAUCAGUAGCCGGUCUGAGAGGACGGUCGGCCACACUGGAACUGAGACACGGUCCAGACUCCUACGGGAGGCAGCAGUGGGGAAUUUUUCGCAAUGGGGGAAACCCUGACGAAGCAAUGCCGCGUGGAUGAUGAAGUAUCUCGGUACGUAAAAUCCUUUCGACGGGGACGAAACCGCAAGGUUGACGGUACCCGUAGAAGAAGCCCCGGCUAACUCCGUGCCAGCAGCCGCGGUAAUACGGGGGGGGCAAGCGUUGUUCGGAAUUACUGGGCGUAAAGGGUGCGUAGGCGGCUUUCUAAGUCGGAUGUGAAAACUCUGGGGCUCAACCCAGAGCCUGCAUCUGAAACUGGAGAGCUAGGGUUCUGGAGGGGAAAGCGGAAUUCCUGGUGUAGCGGUGAAAUGCGUAGAUAUCAGGAGGAACACCGGUGGCGAAGGCGGCUUUCUGGACAGAUACCGACGCUGAGGCACGAAAGCUAGGGGAGCAAACAGGAUUAGAUACCCUGGUAGUCCUAGCCCUAAACGAUGGAUACUUGCUGUGGGGGGGAAUUGAAGCCCCUUGGGGGCGAAACUUACGCAUUAAGU
RNAcentral lists this ribosomal RNA (789 nucleotides) under uncultured Bacillota bacterium. Its description in RNAcentral is "bacterial SSU rRNA". It matches the Rfam family "Bacterial small subunit ribosomal RNA", at positions 72 to 865 of the family's 1533-position model. The record is from RNAcentral. Lineage: Bacteria; Bacillati; Bacillota.